CAAAAAUCCUCUGAAAACUAAGAAACCCAAAUCAUAACUCAAACCAAACCAAAAUCCUCUACACAUACAUCCCGACACCUCAAAACACACCCCUCCUUCCGGUGAAUACCUGCCAACACGUUCACUCUCUCUGGGUCCGAGCUCCGACGAGUAGUUCCGAUGGCCAAUGAUGACCGUGUUGCUGUUGUUGACGGUACUCAGCGCCGACUGUGGGCUUUUUGCAGCGGCCAAGCUGCCACACACGACGGCCGGCGACGAUUUUCGCUCCGACGAACCCUCGACAGACCCCGCUGGGCCCCGCUGAUGAUGGAUAUGCUGAUAUAUGACGACGGUGGGACGGUGAUGACGAGAGACCGAGGAACAGGAAUAUAAAGGGUGUUUAGGAUAGUUGAGCAUAUUAUGGUUUUGAUUUGGUAUACAAAGGAAUACAAAGGAAUAUAAAGUGUGAUUUGGGGUGGCUGCGGCGGCGAGCAGAGAGAACAGCAGCAGCAACACCGUGGGGCUCCGACAGGUGCUGGACGUCGGCGACGAAGCAGAGACGACAUCAAAAACCUCGUUCAUCUCAUAGGUCAGUUGAGUUCAUCGGUGUUUAUUUUGAAUUCAUGUAAUUUUUUGGAGGUUUUGAGUGAAUGAAUUUGAUAACUGUAUCAGUGAUGUUUAACU
RNA transcript from Helianthus annuus (common sunflower), 663 nucleotides. RefSeq lists it as uncharacterized. The record is from RefSeq and is a predicted model, not a curated record. NCBI's taxonomy places the organism in Eukaryota, Viridiplantae, Streptophyta, Magnoliopsida, Asterales, Asteraceae. The transcript has 2 exons.